UACGUAGGGUGCAAGCGUUAUCCGGAAUUAUUGGGCGUAAAGAGCUCGUAGGCGGUUUGUCGCGUCUGCUGUGAAAACCCGAGGCUCAACCUCGGGCCUGCAGUGGGUACGGGCAGACUAGAGUGCGGUAGGGGAGAUUGGAAUUCCUGGUGUAGCGGUGAAAUGCGCAGAUAUCAGGAGGAACACCGAUGGCGAAGGCAGGUCUCUGGGCAUUAACUGACGCUGAGGAGCGAAAGCAUGGGGAGCGAACAGG
RNAcentral lists this ribosomal RNA (253 nucleotides) under uncultured bacterium. Its description in RNAcentral is "partial 16S ribosomal RNA". It matches the Rfam family "Bacterial small subunit ribosomal RNA", at positions 524 to 776 of the family's 1533-position model. The record is from RNAcentral.